This 879-nucleotide long non-coding RNA is filed under the name Papio anubis (olive baboon). RNAcentral's name for it is "lncRNA (ENSPANG00000048805.1)". The record is from RNAcentral. Lineage: Eukaryota; Metazoa; Chordata; Mammalia; Primates; Cercopithecidae.
AGACAAGUAGGCGAGGUAAAAAGAAACUUUAUUAGCUAGCCAAUGUGAAGGAAGAAAGGGCCAAGUUCACUGGUCUCCGGUGGUGGAGGCCGAGGAAGUCGCUCCCGCGUUCUCCGGCGAGGUUCCUAGGUCCGCAUACGAGGAGAGGCCGAGGAAGUUCGCGCCGCGCGCCUGCCAGGAGCGGCUUUUCUGUCUACGGCUUGGGAGUGGGAGGGCAAUAGACGGGACAUGGGCGUGUCGGGGGCAUUCCGUAGGUGCGGCCAGGUAAGUUUCCGCUUAUGCCAUGCUGCGCCUGCGCAGUUGGUCUGUAUUGUUCCCGGGCGUGGGCUGCAUUUUCCCGCGCGCGGGUAAGUUGGUGAUGAAGAACCCGGAAAUGCGCCGUCUUAGUCGUCUUUGUCCUCUCCCCCCGUCCAGACAUGGCAUGCGUCUGGUGAGAAUUCAUCUGAAGGUAACAACAAUUGAAAUAUGCUGUACCAAUCCUCGUGCCCUAUUUCCCAAGCAGUUUGCAAGCUGGGACCCCCAGCCAGCGAUGUCCCACCUGGGCCUAACUUGGUCACGCUACCUGCUGCAGGAGAUGGUCACCCAUUCAGUCAAGUCUUGCUUUUGCACCGGUUCCCAAGUUCCUGUCUAGCAUCCAAGAAGAAUGAGGUUGCUGACCAUCAAACAGUGAGAAGAAGAAACAUCAGAAGCAGUUAAGGAAACAGAAAUUGGGUUCUCUACGGAAGAAGAGGCAUUCAGCUGGAUGGCUUUUGAAAAGCGUUUGCUGUAGAUUCAUCUGCAAUGACUUUUGUCUUAGAAGUCUUUGAUUUUAUGCACUGACAUGGUUUCUUAUUCUGUUAUAAAUAUACACGGUUCCAGUCCUUCAAUAAACCUGUCACA